RNAcentral lists this ribosomal RNA (816 nucleotides) under Vibrio harveyi. RNAcentral's name for it is "bacterial SSU rRNA". It matches the Rfam family "Bacterial small subunit ribosomal RNA", at positions 234 to 1042 of the family's 1533-position model. Lineage: Bacteria; Pseudomonadati; Pseudomonadota; Gammaproteobacteria; Vibrionales; Vibrionaceae. The record is from RNAcentral.
GGUGGGAUUAGCUAGUUGGUGAGGUAAGGGCUCACCAAGGCGACGAUCCCUAGCUGGUCUGAGAGGAUGAUCAGCCACACUGGAACUGAGACACGGUCCAGACUCCUACGGGAGGCAGCAGUGGGGAAUAUUGCACAAUGGGCGCAAGCCUGAUGCAGCCAUGCCGCGUGUGUGAAGAAGGCCUUCGGGUUGUAAAGCACUUUCAGUCGUGAGGAAGGUAGUGUAGUUAAUAGCUGCAUUAUUUGACGUUAGCGACAGAAGAAGCACCGGCUAACUCCGUGCCAGCAGCCGCGGUAAUACGGAGGGUGCGAGCGUUAAUCGGAAUUACUGGGCGUAAAGCGCAUGCAGGUGGUUUGUUAAGUCAGAUGUGAAAGCCCGGGGCUCAACCUCGGAAUAGCAUUUGAAACUGGCAGACUAGAGUACUGUAGAGGGGGGUAGAAUUUCAGGUGUAGCGGUGAAAUGCGUAGAGAUCUGAAGGAAUACCGGUGGCGAAGGCGGCCCCCUGGACAGAUACUGACACUCAGAUGCGAAAGCGUGGGGAGCAAACAGGAUUAGAUACCCUGGUAGUCCACGCCGUAAACGAUGUCUACUUGGAGGUUGUGGCCUUGAGCCGUGGCUUUCGGAGCUAACGCGUUAAGUAGACCGCCUGGGGAGUACGGUCGCAAGAUUAAAACUCAAAUGAAUUGACGGGGGCCCGCACAAGCGGUGGAGCAUGUGGUUUAAUUCGAUGCAACGCGAAGAACCUUACCUACUCUUGACAUCCAGAGAACUUUCCAGAGAUGGAUUGGUGCCUUCGGGAACUCUGAGACAGGUGCU